GCUGGCCGCUCCUCCCCCUCGGCUCCUCGGCUGCUCGGCGGGCGGGCGCCGGGCGCUCUGGGAGGAGAAGACUGCAGGGCCGAGCCCAGCGCACCCCGCCGCGUCCCCCGUUCCCGCCGUGCCCGCCGCUCCCACCGCGCCUGCCGCGGCCGCGACCGCGGCAGCUCAGCCUCCCGCCGGUUGUAUGUUCCAGGCCUCAAUGAGGAGUCCAAACAUGGAGCCAUUCAAGCAGCAGAAGGUGGAAGACUUUUAUGACAUCGGAGAGGAGCUGGGGAGUGGCCAGUUUGCCAUCGUGAAGAAGUGCCGGGAGAAGAGCACGGGGCUUGAGUAUGCAGCCAAGUUCAUCAAGAAGCGGCAGAGCCGGGCGAGCCGGCGCGGUGUGAGCCGGGAGGAGAUCGAGCGGGAGGUGAGCAUCCUGCGGCAGGUGCUGCACCACAAUGUCAUCACGCUGCACGACGUCUACGAGAACCGCACCGACGUGGUGCUCAUCCUUGAGCUAGUGUCUGGAGGAGAGCUCUUCGAUUUCCUGGCCCAGAAGGAGUCACUGAGUGAGGAGGAGGCCACCAGCUUCAUUAAGCAGAUCCUGGAUGGGGUGAACUACCUUCACACAAAGAAAAUUGCUCACUUUGAUCUCAAGCCAGAAAACAUUAUGUUGUUAGACAAGAAUAUUCCCAUUCCACACAUCAAGCUGAUUGACUUUGGUCUGGCUCACGAGAUAGAAGAUGGAGUUGAAUUUAAGAAUAUUUUUGGGACGCCGGAAUUUGUUGCUCCAGAAAUUGUGAACUACGAGCCCCUGGGUCUGGAGGCUGACAUGUGGAGCAUAGGCGUCAUCACCUACAUCCUCUUAAGUGGAGCAUCCCCUUUCCUGGGAGACACGAAGCAGGAAACACUGGCAAAUAUCACAGCAGUGAGUUACGACUUUGAUGAGGAAUUCUUCAGCCAGACGAGCGAGCUGGCCAAGGACUUCAUUCGGAAGCUUCUGGUUAAAGAGACCCGGAAACGGCUCACAAUCCAAGAGGCUCUCAGACACCCCUGGAUCACGCCGGUGGACAACCAGCAAGCCAUGGUGCGCAGGGAGUCUGUGGUCAAUCUGGAGAACUUCAGGAAGCAGUAUGUCCGCAGGCGGUGGAAGCUUUCCUUCAGCAUCGUGUCCCUGUGCAACCACCUCACCCGCUCGCUGAUGAAGAAGGUGCACCUGAGGCCGGAUGAGGACCUGACAGAGUUUCACUCUUAUUGCUUAGGUUGGAGUGCAGUGGCGCCAUCUCGACUCACCGCAACCUCUGCCUCCUGGCUUCAAGCGAUUCUCCUGCGUCAGCCUCCUGAGUAGCUGGGAUUACAGUCAUGCGCCACCACACCCAGCUAAUUUUGUAUUUUUAGUAGAGAUGGGGUUUCUCCAUGUUGGUCAGGCUGGUCUCGAACUCCCGACUUCAGGUGAUCUGCCCGCCUCGGCCUCCCAAAAUGCUGGGAUUACAGGCAUAAGCCACCAUGCCAAGCCAAUAAUGACAUAUUCUUAAAGCCUGGCAUAGGAACUGUGAGAGUGACACUGAGGAGGACAUCGCCAGGAGGAAAGCCCUCCACCCACGGAGGAGGAGCAGCACCUCCUAACUGGCCUGACCUGCAGUGGCCGCCAGGGAGGUCUGGGCCCAGCGGGACUCCCUUCUGUGCAGACUCUUGGACCCAGCUCAGCACCAGCACCCGGGCGUCCUGAGCACUUUGCAAGAGAGAUGGGCCCAAGGAAUCCAGAAGAGCUUGCAGGCGAGCCAGGAGACCCUGGGAGCUGUGGCUGUCUUCUGUGGAGGAGGCUCCAGCAUUCCCAAAGCUCUUAAUUCUCCAUAAAAUGGGCUUUCCUCUGUCUGCCAUCCUCAGAGUCUGGUGUGGGAGUGUGGACUUAGGAAAACAAUAUAAAGGACAUCCUCAUCAUCACGGGGUGAAGGUCAGACUCAGGCAGCCUUCCUCACAGGCUGAGGGGUUUCAGAACCAGCCUGGCCAAAAAUUGCACCAGAGAGACAGAGUCCUCCCCAUUGGGAACAGGGUGAUUGAGGAAAGUGAACCUUGGGUGUGAGGGACCAAUCCUGUGACCUCCCAGAACCACGGAAGCCAGGACGUCAGGCUGACCAACACCUCAGACCUUCUGAAGCAGCCCAUUGCUGGUCCGCCAUGUUGUAAUUUUGCUCAUUUUUAUUAAACUUCUGGUUUACCUGA
Molecule: RNA transcript, 2202 nt
Organism: Pan troglodytes (chimpanzee)
Lineage: Eukaryota; Metazoa; Chordata; Mammalia; Primates; Hominidae
Gene: DAPK2
Gene name: death associated protein kinase 2
Exons: 13
Source: RefSeq, a predicted model, not a curated record